AAGAUGUGGUAUGAUUGCCAAUGAGACAACUAUCCACAAAAGACCAAAAUGACACAUACAUUAACAACUAUAGGUCACCGUACGGCCUUCAACAAUGAGCAAAGCCCAUACCGCAUAGUCAGCUAUAAAAGGCCCGAUAAGACAAUGUAAAACAAUUCAAACAAGAAAACUAACGGCCUUAUUUAUGUAAAAAAAUGAGCGAAAACAAAUAUGUAACACAUAAACAAACGACAACCACUGGAUUACAGGCUCCUGACUUGGGACAGGCACAUACAUAAAUAAUGUGACGGGGUUAAACAUGUUAGCGGGAUCCCAACCCUCCCCCUAACCUGGGACAGUGGUAUAACAGUACAACAUAAGAACGAACUAUAAAAAUCAGUUGAAAAAGGCUUAACUCAUCAGAUGGACAAAAAUACAAGUGGACGUGACCCGGUACUUAUACAUCCCGACACAAAAA
RNAcentral lists this long non-coding RNA (457 nucleotides) under Mytilus galloprovincialis (Mediterranean mussel). The record is from RNAcentral. Lineage: Eukaryota; Metazoa; Mollusca; Bivalvia; Mytilida; Mytilidae.